UGUCCCAUGGCUUAGUUGGUUACGGCGUCCGACUGUUAUAGUGGGGAACUAACUGACAUCGGAAGAUCGAGAGUUCAAGUCUCUCUGGGACAG
This is a non-coding RNA of Crucibulum laeve, 93 nucleotides long. Lineage: Eukaryota; Fungi; Basidiomycota; Agaricomycetes; Agaricales; Nidulariaceae. The record is from the annotation of a GenBank genome assembly.